This 455-nucleotide ribosomal RNA is filed under the name uncultured Curtobacterium sp. RNAcentral describes it as "bacterial SSU rRNA". It matches the Rfam family "Bacterial small subunit ribosomal RNA", at positions 925 to 1382 of the family's 1533-position model. The record is from RNAcentral. Lineage: Bacteria; Bacillati; Actinomycetota; Actinomycetes; Micrococcales; Microbacteriaceae.
ACAAGCGGCGGAGCAUGCGGAUUAAUUCGAUGCAACGCGAAGAACCUUACCAGGCUUGACAUACACCGGUAACGCCCAGAGAUGGGUGCCCCUUUGUGGUCGGUGUACAGGUGGUGCAUGGUUGUCGUCAGCUCGUGUCGUGAGAUGUUGGGUUAAGUCCCGCAACGAGCGCAACCCUCGUCCUAUGUUGCCAGCGGGUCAUGCCGGGGACUCAUGGGAGACUGCCGGGGUCAACUCGGAGGAAGGUGGGGAUGACGUCAAAUCAUCAUGCCCCUUAUGUCUUGGGCUUCACGCAUGCUACAAUGGCCGGUACAAAGGGCUGCGAUACCGCGAGGUGGAGCGAAUCCCAGAAAGCCGGUCUCAGUUCGGAUUGGAGUCUGCAACUCGACUUCAUGAAGGCGGAAUCGCUAGUAACCGCGAAUCAGCAGGUCGCGGUGAAUACGUUCCCGGGCCUU